RNAcentral lists this ribosomal RNA (497 nucleotides) under uncultured bacterium. RNAcentral's name for it is "partial 16S ribosomal RNA". It matches the Rfam family "Bacterial small subunit ribosomal RNA", at positions 28 to 507 of the family's 1533-position model. The record is from RNAcentral.
GAUGAACGCUGGCGGCGUGCCUAAUACAUGCAAGUCGAGCGAACGGACGAGAAGCUUGCUUCUCUGAUGUUAGCGGCGGACGGGUGAGUAACACGUGGAUAACCUACCUAUAAGACUGGGAUAACUUCGGGAAACCGGAGCUAAUACCGGAUAAUAUUUUGAACCGCAUGGUUCAAAAGUGAAAGACGGUCUUGCUGUCACUUAUAGAUGGAUCCGCGCUGCAUUAGCUAGUUGGUAAGGUAACGGCUUACCAAGGCAACGAUGCAUAGCCGACCUGAGAGGGUGAUCUGCCACACUGGAACUGAGACACGGUCCAGACUCCUACGGGAGGCAGCAGUAGGGAAUCUUCCGCAAAGGGCGAAAGCCUGACGGAGCAACGCCGCGUGAGUGAUGAAGGUCUUCGGAUCGUAAAACUCUGUUAUUAGGGAAGAACAUAUGUGUAAGUAACUGUGCACAUCUUGACGGUACCUAAUCAGAAAGCCACGGCUAACUACGUG